This is a long non-coding RNA of Amphiprion ocellaris (clown anemonefish), 2235 nucleotides long. RefSeq lists it as uncharacterized. Lineage: Eukaryota; Metazoa; Chordata; Actinopteri; Pomacentridae. The record is from RefSeq and is a predicted model, not a curated record. The transcript has 4 exons.
UGCUCUUCACGGACCUCUCUGUUCUUCAUAAUUUUAAUAUGACAGCCAGACCUGUACCGUGGGUGAAUGAAGAGGUCGAGACUUUUCUGUCUAUGGUGGUGGACCAAAGAAUACAGAGGGAGCUGGACAUAGGAAGUUUAUCAGGAGGUCUCAGAGCGGAUGGCCGCUCACAUAUACAGUAGACUGUAUAUAAAGAGGACAGAAGCAGUGUAGGGAGAAGCUGAAAAAGCUCAAAAAUGACUAUUGGUCCACCAAGGACCACAGCGGCCCGCAUGGGUCAACCAGGAGGUGUUGGAAGAGGUUUAAUGGAAGCUAUUUACUGGCACCGCACCGACGAGCAACAGGAGGGAGACUCAGCUGCUGCAUUAUUGGAGACGUUCGAGGACGAAUCCCUUUCCACAUGCGAAGCCUCCUCCACCUCCGUCAUGGAGCCCCCAGCUCCCCUGCCUCCUCUCCAGCACCAGCUUCAGCACCAGUACCAGCUCGGACACCGACACUGUCAACAUCAACCUCCAGCACGUCACACCAACCUCUAAUAACCGAAGUUACAAGAAGGCUGAAAAAUAAUGUUCCUGCAUAAGACACCAGCCCUGAUCUGACGGGUGAAAGUCCUCUGUUGACCCACAUCCACCCUCCUGCCUCCUUAUGUGAACUUUGUGGCUCCUUCAAACUGCAAACCUUCACUACUGUGUCACAGGGGGGAAUGGAUUGGACAACUCUGGGAUAAAAACUGUUUUUCCAUCUGAAAGUUGGAGUUCUGAUGUUUCUGUACCAUUUACCCAAAGGAAGCUGAACAAACAGUCCAUUUCCCAGGUGGGUGGGGUCAGUGGGGAUACCAUUUUGGAGUCCAGGUCUGGAAGAGGACUUCCUACAAUCCCCUGUACUGUUUUCACCACCCGGGCUAAGUCCUCGCUGCCGUACCACACUGUUGCACAGAAACAGAGGAUGGUUUCUAUUGUGGCUCUAUAGAAGUUUGCCAGGAGCUGAGGGGAGAAACCAGCAUGUUUCAGCUUCCUAGGGAAGAAGAGUGUUUGUGUGUUCAGGGAUCAGGUCAGGUCAGAUGUAAUGUGGACGCCCAGGAACUUGAUGCUGUCAAGAAGUGUUGAAUGCAGGACGUGGAGAUGACUACAGACAUAUUAAACAACUAGAAUCACACUCAGAGAGCACAGAACUCUGCCAUAACAACUGCUUAACCUUCCACCCACCCAUCCAUUAUCUAUACACCGCUUAGUCCUCACUAGGGUCGCGGGGGCUGGAAUCUAUCCCAUCUGACUUAGGGGACAAAUUGCACAGGUUCACACCUACGGACAAUUUAGAGUUACCAAUUAACCUGAGCAUGUGUUUAGACUGUGGGAGGAAGCCAAAGUACUCUGAGAAAACCCACGCAUGCUACAGGGAGAACAUUCAAACUCCAUGCAGAAAGAUCCCGGGAAAGCCGGGACGUGAACCAGGGAUCUUCUAGCUGCAAGGCGAAUGUGCUAACCACUACACCACUGUGCAGCCCUAAAUAAAAAACUAUGCAUCUACAUUUAGUACUCCACCUCUACAUCAGGUUUCAGUAAAUUCAGCCAAGCAUUUUUUGACAAACAGAUACUGAAAAGAUUGAUCUCUCUGUUGAUAGAGGAAUAAGUUUGACAUGUCUGUAGUGAUUUCUGACAAGGAAACAAUGCUGACUGGUAACUGUAAUUAUUUCAUGUUUAAUUUUGAAAUAUUAGUGUUUGUGCUCCUUUAAUGUCCUCAGUGAAAUGUUGCUCAUGUGUCUGAACUGUGAACCUCCCUGAUAAGAUGAUGCAACUCUGCACCGACUCUUGGUAAUGUGCCAUUUAAACAUAGGCCUGAGCAUGACUAUAGGUGUCAGGAUCCAAUAAAAUAAAACAUAAAUGGCAAGCCAUUUACUGCACGUGAACAUUCUGUACGUCUUCACAUGUGCACACCGACACUUUCAUCGUAAUGCACCAUCCUGUCUCAGCUGUGUUGGCUGGAGUCAUGUUUGAGCAUGAGCAGCAGCUAUUCUUGUAGCGCUCCGCUGCAGAAGUGUGCAGCUGUAAUGCGACGCUCCCGCCUGUGCAGCCACGCCAGGUCCACGCCAGCAGAGCGUGAUCAGCUGGAGGGAGGAGGAGGGGGAGGAAUGGGAGUGUGUGGUGAGGAGGAAAUAUAAGGAGAGGCAGGGAGCUGAGAGAGAGAGAGAGACAGAGAAGUGGUGAUGCAGGACUAAAGAGCCUUUCAGAGCUCUGA